GUAUUUUAUUACGGCCAUAUCGGCACGAGCACGUUCAACAUUAUAAUCAGCGUAUGUAAAGAGGGAUAUCCAAGAGAGAUCACCACAUGGCAAUCUCUACUCGAAAAACCCUCAGAUGCACAGGUGUGUGGAUAAAGAUUGUUGGAGGCGAGCACAUGCAGCCAGAAGAUAGCUUGCCAGCAUCAACCCCCAUUACAAUUCGUUAAUGAUCCUUCCGCAGGUUCACCUACGGAAA
Molecule: unclassified non-coding RNA, 235 nt
Filed under: uncultured fungus
Lineage: Eukaryota; Fungi
Description: sequence contains ITS1
Source: RNAcentral